RNAcentral lists this long non-coding RNA (645 nucleotides) under Homo sapiens (human). RNAcentral describes it as "derlin 3 (ENSG00000274437.4)". The record is from RNAcentral. Lineage: Eukaryota; Metazoa; Chordata; Mammalia; Primates; Hominidae.
UCAUCCUGGCCCCACCAGGGCCUUGGGCAAGUCCUGCCCACCAUAGGCCUCUGCUACCUGCCAGUCAGCGGGGAAGUUCACCAGAUUUCGGCUGCUGGGGCCAGGACAGGCGUCUCCUAGGUUGUGCCAAACCAGCCUACAGAUGUUCCUGCCAGUGGUGCCUUCAGGCUGAUGCCAAUCUAGCCUCUCCUGUCUCUCAUCAGCCACCCUGACAGGGGACUUCAGAGCAGCAAGGCCCCAGCUGGCAGUAGCCUGACCAUCUGGACACAGCAGAGCCAGGGCGGCCCAGGGACGGCAGGAGAGCUCGCGGCACCUUCCUGAGGCCAAGCAAGGGGAGCAGGGUUAGGGCUGUUCCUGAAAGGCAGAGAGCCUCUUGCCCUGAGCCUCACAGCUACUCUUCUCAGCUCUCUGGGUCUGGAAGGAGAACAGGCUGAGGGGAGCUGAGAGGAGCUGAGGUGCUACCCGGAGCCCCAUUCACCCCCACCUGCCCACUUGGGAAUCUGAGGCAGAGGAGGGUGAGGCCUGUGUGCCAACCUUGUUCACAUACCACCUUCGUCCCCCCAGGCCCCGGCCCCACUCCUGGCUCUCAUUAUUUUUAUGUUAAAACUUUGAAGAAAUUGAACAUGACCUGUUGAAGAAAUUGAA